This 1255-nucleotide long non-coding RNA is filed under the name Fragaria vesca (wild strawberry). Its description in RNAcentral is "long non-coding RNA (FVES_LNC005140)". The record is from RNAcentral. Lineage: Eukaryota; Viridiplantae; Streptophyta; Magnoliopsida; Rosales; Rosaceae.
GGAAAAUGUCGAAAGGAGGAGGGAGGAGGCUAGGGUUUCGCAGUUAAACCCGAAAACUUUAGCCGACGAAAUAAAUAUUUCGUCGGCUAAAGUCUUAAAUUUCGUCGGCUAUACACCAAUUCGUCGGCUAAACCUUAUAAACUCGUCGGCUAAAACUUUGAAAUUCGUCGGCUAAACUUUAUAAAUUCGUCGGCUAAAACUUUGAAAUUCGUCGGCUAAACCUUUGAAAUUCGUCGGCUAAAAGUAUUUGUAUACAUUUGGCAUGUUGUGAUUGUGAUGGUCAAACUUGAGAAACAGAAAUCCGACCGUCAGAUCUGACCAUCAUGAUAAAAUACAUGUAUGGGAAAAAAUUCAACUUGAUCCGAAAAGAAUAAGGGCUCGAUCCGGACGGUCAAUCUCGUAAGUCAAACCCCUAAACGCACGGAAAAGGUCGUUCGACCGUCUAAAUUACGUAUUUUGGCCGGACCUCCAACUGAAAAUAGUUUUAAACCGAUGACACGCAACUAGUUGUAUAAAAAUUUUACGCAAAAUAACCACCGAAUAUAGGGCUACUCAUAGGGGGAAAAAAUGAAAAAUUGCAUUGACCGCAACUAUCGGCACCGAAUAUUUACCGGAAUAGUGUGUUUUUUCAACCGUGGAUGUAUUUCAACAUUCUCGUCAUAUCUUAUUUCAUGACUUUUUGGCGUUUGAAGGUUUUACGUAUAGUUUGUUUUUGAAACGGAACAUUUACGUAACACUUGGUAAACAAGUUAUACAACAUUAGUAUGCAUGUUGUGAUUGUGAUGAUCAAACUUGAGAAACAGAAAUCCGACCGUCAGAUCUGACCAUCAUGAUAAAAUACAUGUAUGGGAAAAAAUUCACCUUGAUCCGAAAAGAAUAAGGGCUCGAUCCGGACGGUCAAUCUCGUAAGUCAAACCCCUAAACGCACGGAAAAGGUCGUUCGACCGUCUAAAUUACGUAUUUUGGCCGGACCUCCAACUGAAAAUAGUUUUAAACCGAUGACACGCAACUAGUCGUAUAAAAAUUUUACGCAAAAUAACCACCGAAUAUAGGACUAUAGUAGGUAAUAGAAAAAUUUUAGGGUUUAGCCGACGAAUACCCUAACGUAUUCGUCGGGUAUAGUGUGUAAUUAAAAAAUUAAAAAAUAACUAGAGCCGACGAAAUAUUAGGUUAUUCGUCGGCAAAAACCAUGUUAGCCGACGAAUUAUAGUGUAUUCGUCGGCUAUACUAUGUAAUUAAAAAUUAAAAAUAACUA